This 403-nucleotide ribosomal RNA is filed under the name Verrucomicrobiota bacterium. Its description in RNAcentral is "Verrucomicrobia bacterium partial 16S ribosomal RNA". It matches the Rfam family "Bacterial small subunit ribosomal RNA", at positions 355 to 776 of the family's 1533-position model. Lineage: Bacteria; Pseudomonadati; Verrucomicrobiota. The record is from RNAcentral.
UGGGGAAUAUUGCACAAUGGGGGAAACCCUGAUGCAGCGACGCCGCGUGAGCGAAGAAGGUUUUCGAAUCGUAAAGCUCUGUCCUAUGAGAAGAUAAUGACGGUAUCAUAGGAGGAAGCCCCGGCUAAAUACGUGCCAGCAGCCGCGGUAAUACGUAUGGGGCGAGCGUUGUCCGGAAUUAUUGGGCGUAAAGGGUACGUAGGCGGUCUAUUAAGUCAGGUGUGAAAGCGUGAGGCUUAACCUCAUUAAGCACUUGAAACUGAUAGACUUGAGUGAAGGAGAGGAAAGUGGAAUUCCUAGUGUAGCGGUGAAAUGCGUAGAUAUUAGGAGGAAUACCGGUGGCGAAGGCGACUUUCUGGGCUUUUACUGACGCUCAGGUACGAAAGCGUGGGGAGCAAACAGG